This 739-nucleotide ribosomal RNA is filed under the name Amplirhagada gemina. Its description in RNAcentral is "partial 16S ribosomal RNA". The record is from RNAcentral. Lineage: Eukaryota; Metazoa; Mollusca; Gastropoda; Stylommatophora; Camaenidae.
CACGAAACCAGGCGAGCUACUGUUAAGCGUAUAUUAGUGCAGAAUAUGUGGCAUAAUAGAAGUAGACUUUACAAUAGGAGCGAAAGACUUUCAAGUCUGGUGAUAUCUUGUUAACUUCGAGAUGUAUUUAGUACAGUGUCAGUUUAUUAGUGAUAAGGCUAGUAAAAAAUAUAUAACUCGUUUACUCAUACCGACAUAGUUUAACCGCUGGUCUUCUUCUGAAUUCAAUAUUAUUGUCCACCAGUAGUAGAAACUAGAAGUUAGUACUUAACCAUAAUAGAUAUUUAUACUGUAAGUAUUAGUAGUUUAGGUAUCGCUGAUGAACUCGGCAACAUUUCUUUCACCUGUUUAUCAAAAACAUGGCCAGUAGGAGUUAUUAUUGGUCGAUUCUGCUCCAUGUAAAAAUAAAUAGCCGCAGUACCCUGACUGUGCAAAGGUAGCAUAAUCACUUGGCUUAUAAUUGAAGUCUGGCAUGAAAGAACGCAUGGGGGAAAGCUCUAUUGGUGGUAGAACAUGAAAUUACUUAGUAGGUGCAAAUACCUAUUGGUAAAUAAAAGACGAGAAGACCCUAGAAAUUUUGACAAUAUGAUAAUGCACGUUUUUGUUGGGGCAACAUGGUAGCAUUUAACCUACAUUAAUGACAUGACAUCGUAUAGUUAGAUUAAAUUACUCUAGGGAUAACAGCGUAAUUUUAUAAAGUUUGCGACCUCGAUGUUGGACUAGGAAGCAGAUACUAGAA